UUAAGCGACUAAGCGUACACGGUGGAUGCCCUGGCAGUCAGAGGCGAUGAAGGACGUGCUAAUCUGCGAAAAGCGUCGGUAAGGUGAUAUGAACCGUUAUAACCGGCGAUGUCCGAAUGGGGAAACCCAGUGCAAUUCGUUGCACUAUCGUUAACUGAAUACAUAGGUUAACGAGGCGAACCGGGGGAACUGAAACAUCUAAGUACCCCGAGGAAAAGAAAUCAACCGAGAUUCCCCCAGUAGCGGCGAGCGAACGGGGAGCAGCCCAGAGUCUGAAUCAGCUUGUGUGUUAGUGGAACGGUCUGGAAAGUCCGACGGUACAGGGUGAUAGUCCCGUACACCAAAAUGCACAGGCUGUGAACUCGAAGAGUAGGGCGGGACACGUGGUAUCCUGUCUGAAUAUGGGGGGACCAUCCUCCAAGGCUAAAUACUCCUGACUGACCGAUAGUGAACCAGUACCGUGAGGGAAAGGCGAAAAGAACCCCGGCGAGGGGAGUGAAAAAGAACCUGAAACCGUGUACGUACAAGCAGUGGGAGCACCUUCGGGUGUGACUGCGUACCUUUUGUAUAAUGGGUCAGCGACUUAUAUUCUGUAGCAAGGUUAACCGUAUAGGGGAGCCGCAGGGAAACCGAGUCUUAACUGGGCGUUAAGUUGCAGGGUAUAGACCCGAAACCCGGUGAUCUAGCCAUGGGCAGGUUGAAGGUUGGGUAACACUAACUGGAGGACCGAACCGACUAAUGUUGAAAAAUUAGCGGAUGACUUGUGGCUGGGGGUGAAAGGCCAAUCAAACCGGGAGAUAGCUGGUUCUCCCCGAAAGCUAUUUAGGUAGCGCCUCGUGAACUCAUCUUCGGGGGUAGAGCACUGUUUCGGCUAGGGGGUCAUCCCGACUUACCAACCCGAUGCAAACUACGAAUACCGAAGAAUGUUAUCACGGGAGACACACGGCGGGUGCUAACGUCCGUCGUGAAGAGGGAAACAACCCAGACCGCCAGCUAAGGUCCCAAAGUCAUGGUUAAGUGGGAAACGAUGUGGGAAGGCACAGACAGCCAGGAUGUUGGCUUAGAAGCAGCCAUCAUUUAAAGAAAGCGUAAUAGCUCACUGGUCGAGUCGGCCUGCGCGGAAGAUGUAACGGGGCUAAACCAUGCACCGAAGCUGCGGCAGCGACACUAUGUGUUGUUGGGUAGGGGAGCGUUCUGUAAGCCUGCGAAGGUGUGCUGUGAGGCAUGCUGGAGGUAUCAGAAGUGCGAAUGCUGACAUAAGUAACGAUAAAGCGGGUGAAAAGCCCGCUCGCCGGAAGACCAAGGGUUCCUGUCCAACGUUAAUCGGGGCAGGGUGAGUCGACCCCUAAGGCGAGGCCGAAAGGCGUAGUCGAUGGGAAACAGGUUAAUAUUCCUGUACUUGGUGUUACUGCGAAGGGGGGACGGAGAAGGCUAUGUUAGCCGGGCGACGGUUGUCCCGGUUUAAGCAUGUAGGCUGAUUGUCCAGGCAAAUCCGGAUAAUCAAGGCUGAGGUGUGAUGACGAGGCACUACGGUGCUGAAGUAACAAAUGCCCUGCUUCCAGGAAAAGCCUCUAAGCAUCAGGUAACAUUAAAUCGUACCCCAAACCGACACAGGUGGUCAGGUAGAGAAUACCAAGGCGCUUGAGAGAACUCGGGUGAAGGAACUAGGCAAAAUGGUGCCGUAACUUCGGGAGAAGGCACGCUGGUGUGUAGGUGAAGUCCCUGCGGAUGGAGCUGAGACCAGUCGAAGAUACCAGCUGGCUGCAACUGUUUAUUAAAAACACAGCACUGUGCAAACACGAAAGUGGACGUAUACGGUGUGACGCCUGCCCGGUGCCGGAAGGUUAAUUGAUGGGGUUAUCCGUAAGGAGAAGCUCUUGAUCGAAGCCCCGGUAAACGGCGGCCGUAACUAUAACGGUCCUAAGGUAGCGAAAUUCCUUGUCGGGUAAGUUCCGACCUGCACGAAUGGCGUAAUGAUGGCCAGGCUGUCUCCACCCGAGACUCAGUGAAAUUGAACUCGCUGUGAAGAUGCAGUGUACCCGCGGCAAGACGGAAAGACCCCGUGAACCUUUACUAUAGCUUGACACUGAACAUUGAGCCUUGAUGUGUAGGAUAGGUGGGAGGCUUUGAAGCGUGGACGCCAGUCUGCGUGGAGCCAACCUUGAAAUACCACCCUUUAAUGUUUGAUGUUCUAACGUUGGCCCCUGACCGGGGUUGCGGACAGUGUCUGGUGGGUAGUUUGACUGGGGCGGUCUCCUCCCAAAGCGUAACGGAGGAGCACGAAGGUUAGCUAAUCCUGGUCGGACAUCAGGAGGUUAGUGCAAUGGCAUAAGCUAGCUUGACUGCGAGCGUGACGGCGCGAGCAGGUGCGAAAGCAGGUCAUAGUGAUCCGGUGGUUCUGAAUGGAAGGGCCAUCGCUCAACGGAUAAAAGGUACUCCGGGGAUAACAGGCUGAUACCGCCCAAGAGUUCAUAUCGACGGCGGUGUUUGGCACCUCGAUGUCGGCUCAUCACAUCCUGGGGCUGAAGUAGGUCCCAAGGGUAUGGCUGUUCGCCAUUUAAAGUGGUACGCGAGCUGGGUUUAGAACGUCGUGAGACAGUUCGGUCCCUAUCUGCCGUGGGCGCUGGAGAAUUGAGGGGGGCUGCUCCUAGUACGAGAGGACCGGAGUGGACGCAUCACUGGUGUUCGGGUUGUCAUGCCAAUGGCACUGCCCGGUAGCUAAAUGCGGAAGAGAUAAGUGCUGAAAGCAUCUAAGCACGAAACUUGCCCCGAGAUGAGUUCUCCCUGAGACUAUAAGUCUCCUGAAGGAACGUUAAAGACGAUGACGUUGAUAGGCCGGGUGUGUAAGCGCAGCGAUGCGUUGAGCUAACCGGUACUAAUGAACCGUGAGGCUUAACCUU
RNAcentral lists this ribosomal RNA (2900 nucleotides) under Klebsiella pneumoniae. RNAcentral describes it as "bacterial LSU rRNA". It matches the Rfam family "Bacterial large subunit ribosomal RNA". The record is from RNAcentral. Lineage: Bacteria; Pseudomonadati; Pseudomonadota; Gammaproteobacteria; Enterobacterales; Enterobacteriaceae.